Molecule: small nucleolar RNA, 133 nt
Organism: Suncus etruscus (white-toothed pygmy shrew)
Lineage: Eukaryota; Metazoa; Chordata; Mammalia; Eulipotyphla; Soricidae
Product: small nucleolar RNA SNORA70
Exons: 1
Source: RefSeq, a predicted model, not a curated record
CUGUGGCCAAUUAAGGCAACUGGGCUCUUUCCAUGUGAGUCCCGGGUGCACUUCGCUACAGAUAAGCAGCCUCCAUGGCUUGCAAGCAGCCUGGUGCUUGUAUAGACUACCUUAAACAAUCUUGAAAGCAGUC